Molecule: ribosomal RNA, 443 nt
Filed under: uncultured bacterium
Lineage: Bacteria
Description: partial 16S ribosomal RNA
Rfam family: Bacterial small subunit ribosomal RNA
Source: RNAcentral
CCUACGGGAGGCAGCAGUGGGGAAUAUUGGACAAUGGGGGGAACCCUGAUCCAGCGACGCCGCGUGAGUGAAGAAGUAUUUCGGUAUGUAAAGCUCUAUCAGCAGGGAAGAAAGAAAUGACGGUACCUGACUAAGAAGCCCCGGCUAACUACGUGCCAGCAGCCGCGGUAAUACGUAGGGGGCAAGCGUUAUCCGGAUUUACUGGGUGUAAAGGGAGCGUAGACGGCGAUGCAAGUCUGAAGUGAAAGGCGGGGGCCCAACCCCUGAACUGCUUUGGAAACUGUAUGGCUGGAGUGCAGGGGAGGUAAGUGGAAUUCCUAGUGUAGCGGUGAAAUGCGUAGAUAUUAGAAGGAACACCAGUGGCGAAGGCGGCUUACUGGACUGUAACUGACGUUGAGGCUCGAAAGCGUGGGGAGCAAACAGGAUUAGAUACCCGUGUAGUC